This 305-nucleotide ribosomal RNA is filed under the name uncultured bacterium. Its description in RNAcentral is "bacterial SSU rRNA". It matches the Rfam family "Bacterial small subunit ribosomal RNA", at positions 56 to 364 of the family's 1533-position model. The record is from RNAcentral.
UGCAAGUCGGACGAUAAAGCACCUUCGGGUGUGGAAUAGUGGUGAACGGGUGAGGGACACGUGAGAAAUCUGCCUUCAACUCUGGGAUAACUCCGGGAAACCGGGGCUAAUACCGGAUAUGAGCCUUGACCGCAUGGUCGGGGCUGGAAAGUUUUUCGGUUGAAGAUGAUCUCGCGGCCUAUCAGCUUGUUGGUGAGGCAACGGCUCACCAAGGCUACGACGGGUAUCCGGCCUGAGAGGGGGACCGGACACACUGGGACUGAGACACGGCCCAGACUCCUUCGGGAGGCAGCAGUGGGGAAUAU